RNAcentral lists this ribosomal RNA (244 nucleotides) under uncultured bacterium. Its description in RNAcentral is "partial 16S ribosomal RNA". It matches the Rfam family "Bacterial small subunit ribosomal RNA", at positions 92 to 334 of the family's 1533-position model. The record is from RNAcentral.
CGACCGGCGCACGGGUGAGUAACACGUACCCAACCUGCCGUCUACUCUUGGCCAGCCUUCUGAAAGGAAGAUUAAUCCAGGAUGGGAUCAUGAGUUCACAUGUCCGCAUGAUUAAAGGUAUUUUCCGGUAGACGAUGGGGAUGCGUUCCAUUAGAUAGUAGGCGGGGUAACGGCCCACCUAGUCAACGAUGGAUAGGGGUUCUGAGAGGAAGGUCCCCCACAUUGGAACUGAGACACGGUCCAA